This 30-nucleotide non-coding RNA is filed under the name Rattus norvegicus (Norway rat). The record is from RNAcentral. Lineage: Eukaryota; Metazoa; Chordata; Mammalia; Rodentia; Muridae.
UGCAAUGAGUCUCCUAAGUGGUGCCUGUCG